UCCGGUCGGCGCCUCCUGCGAAGAGCUCGGCGGCCGGCAGAGACGCGGGUGGCCAGCGAUGGCCGCGGAAGGGGCGAGCUGGGGCCCAGUCCACAGAGGCUGACUGGGCCGAGGAUUGGAGACCUUUGUCGGACGUAUACCGUGUGUUCCUCACGUGUCUGUUCCGCCGCCGCCACCUCCCAGCAAGGGACUCAGCAGUCACCUAUCACCUGUCACCACCUGUGCAGUGGAGAUGGGGAGGCAGAAGAGAAAGCAAGUGGAUCCCACCUCAAGUGAUGAAAAAGGAUCACAUCCAGGAUCCCAUGUUACAUGUAAUUUAAUUGUCCUAUCUAAUCUCCUCUUGCCUGUGGCAGAUUCAGAUUCUCCUUGUUUUUGAUGGCCUUGACAGUUUUGAGGAGUGCUGCUCAGGAAAGGAACAGAAGUAAACAUGGAAUUCAGCCUGAGAAGGAGGGAGGUGCAGAGGCUGUGUGCACGAGGCAGGUGGAGUGUCAGAGCACAGGUGUUACAGCCACCUUGAAACCGUGCAAAGCAGAGACCGAGUACUUGACACAUCAUCACAGCACCCAUCCAGUAAACACAACUGUGGUCAGCAUCCCCAAGAACAGCAAGGGCUGCCCACCUCUGGUCUUACCAUUGCAGCUGUAGGUAAACGUGGGUCUUGGAAGUCCCAUUUCCCAAUUCAUCCCAUGUCAUGUUCCCCACGACUAAAACACUCAGCGUCACUCCAGGGGAACUGUGCAGCACGAAAUAACCACACAAGAGACAGAAAGAGAAAGAGCGAGCUCUUGCUGAACCUUUUAUUGAAGAGAAGCCAUUCAAAUGAGGCCAGGGGUCAGAUUUCAGGGGGCUGAGUCUAGCUUCCUGAUGUUGCUGUCAGCAGGUUGACUGACAUCUAGGAAGGCCACACCCAAAGGCAGAGCAAGAGAAGGGGGAUACACAAAGGCAUUUCCAUGGAAUAUUCUAUCCCAAACAGGACAAAGGGGUAGUAUCACAAAGGAACAGGUGAGUAUAGUUCAAUCCAUGGGAUGACGCCUACGUUUGAAGAUGUGUCCUCAAAUUUCUGGGACCGGGGCAAUGUCCAGGUCACUCAUUACAAGAUAUAGUGAUGGUCAAAAGCCUCUCCGCUCCAGGCCGGAAGACACAGAUCAUUCAGAGUGGCUCCCCACAAUCCCACUGGAUCCAGCCUGUGACACUUGCAUCCAGUGUCUUUGUGGCGAGAACAGCAGUGGGUAUUUUAUCCUCUCUAGAGUCAAGGGAUAGGGAAAGCCCCACAGCUCUGGUUCCUAGGGUCAUUGGAGUAGCCUGGUCUGCCCUGUUGUCCCAGAGCAAUAUUCACAUUGACUGUAUUCACUCUCAGCGUCCCCAAGUGGACUAUAGUCAAUAAGUCACACUCUUGCCCUCCCUGCUUCUACAGGGACUUAGUUGGCAGGAGCCACCACCACUCCUCUUUGUAAGAUUUCUGUGUUGUUUUUGUAUUUAACUUUUCUUUUUCAUGUCAUGAGUUCUCUUUCUUGUGGUGUCUCUCGCUGUUUCCCAUGUGUUUGGUGGUCUUUUGCAGGCUCCUUUGUAUUUUCAAGUGAAAAUUCAGUGGUUUCUAAGGUAGUCACAAAGGAAUGCGACUGCCAGCACUCACAUUCCAGAACAUUCUCAUCUCUCCAGAAAGAAACCCUGUGUCCCUUAGCUGUCAUUCCCUGUUCCACCCCCCACAGUCACUAGCAACAGUUAAUCUGCUUUCUGACUCUCUGGAUUGCCUCUUCUAGAUACUUUGUAUAAAUGGAGUUUUAUAGUAUGUGGCCUCUUGUGACUAGCUUAUUUUCACUAAGCAUAAUGUCCUCGGUGUUCAUCCAUGCUGUAGUGUGUCACUGGUUCAUUCCUUUUUAUGGAUAAAUAAUAUUCCACUAUAUGAAUAGACCAUGUUAUGUUUACCCAUUCAUCCAUUGCAGGACAUUUGGGCUAUUUCCACCUUUUGACUACAGGGACUAGUGCUGCUAUGAACAUUCAUGUACAAGUUUCCAUGUGAACAUAAUGUGUUCAUUUUUCUUGGGCAUAUACUAUCUGGUAGUGAAACAUAUGGGCACUCUGUGUUUCACUUUUUUUUAAUAUUUUUUUUUUAGUUGUAGAUGGACACAAUAUCUUUAUUUCUUUAAUUUUAUGUGGUGCUGAGGAUCAAACCCAGUGCCUCACACAUGUAAGGCAGGCGCUCUAGCACCGAGCCUCAGCCCCAGCCCCUGCAUUUCACUUUUUUUCCGCAAUACUGAGAAUGGAACCCAGAGCCUUGUGCAUGCUAGGCAAGUGCUCAACCACUGAACUGCAACCCCGGCCUUUAUUUUCCACUUUUGAACUGCCAGGCAGGUUUCUCCAGUCUGCUAUUUAUAAAUGAGAUGAAGACUUCACAUGCUUAUCAGUCAUGGUAAGCAGUUUACAAUUUUAAUGUCUCCAUCCUAGGCUAGAGAAAUAGCUCAGUGGUAGAGCUCAUGCUUAGUAUGUACAAGGCCCUGAGUUUAAUCCUCAGCACCCCAAGGAAAAGAAGGGAGAAAAGGAAUUCUAGCCUUGUUCCUCAUCCAGCAACCUAGAGGAAGACCCACAGGCAUUGCCAGGUCUUCCGCAGGUCAAGAAGCCUGGAUUCUGGGAGUCUGGACACCUCUUUCUCUUACAGAUGAAGCUGACUUGGAGGUCUGGUGGAAGGACCAGUCACUGUACAUCAGGGACUCAGCCUUAGUGAGGAGCCAUCUGCAAAUCUAGAGACUGACCAGGGCAACAGCACCCUUACAGCAGGGACAGGGACCUAGGAGCAGGCAGCUGGACUGGAUGUGCCCAGGUGGGAGCAGCAGCCAUCUCCCUAGAUCAGCUUUCCCACUCCCAGAGGUAGGGCCCAUGAAUUUGCCAGAGUUUACUUGUAAGAUGGCUGCAAGCUGCAAGAGCCCCUGGGGAAGGAUGAGCACUUAGGAUUCCAGGUUCUGCCCUACCCUGGCAACUUCCACACUCUGUAUCACAAGACCCUCUCAGUCCCUCAGAUAGGAGACCAGAAAGCCAGAUAAAAAACCACAGCCAGUAGCUGGGUGCAGUGGUGCUCGCCUGUAAUCCCAGUGGCUUGGGAGGCUGAGGCAAGAAGGAUCACAAGUUCAACGGCAGCCUCAGCAAAAAGCGAGGUGCUAAGCAACUCAGUGAGACCCUGUCUCUAAAUAAAAUACAAAAUAGGGCUGGAUGUGGCUCAGUGGCUGAGCGCUCCUGAGUUCAGUCCCCGAUAACACCCCCCGGCCCCCGACCAAAAAAACCCCUGCAGCCCGAGCAUUUCUUGGAGCACUCCACAGGCUCACCUCCAGGUGUUCAGAAUGAAGAACAAGUAGCUGGAUGUAAGCAAAGCCAGAUGUUUUCAGUCCAUUUAAAGCUCAGACAAACUGAUAGGAGCCAAAAGGGCAAAGGCCAGGAACAGAUAACUCACCAAAAACAGGAGUCCACUAACCUGAGCCUGGGUUAGCAAGUGCCAAGGUUGGGGCCCAGGAGUAGGGAUUGGCCAAGGCAAAGGCUUAGUCCAGCACAGGCAGGACCAACCCUCACUUUCCUCAGGGGUGGUGCCCACUUUAAUCAGAAAGACCCUUUGAGGACAUUUACCCACCAUAUUAUAGGGUUCGUGGUCUAACAAUAAAAAUCACUGGUGAAAGGGCUAUCCACAGGAGGGCGUUUCUUCCCAUCUAUAAAAGGUCAUCGUCAAGUGGAGCCUAAUUCAAAGCCCGGGGAUGGGACUGGUUUGGUGAGUCAUGUAGUUUCCACUAGAAACCACAGUGAGGAGGCCUACAACCUGUGGAGUGACAGUGGCUCCCAAACCCUGCGCCAGGCGCAGUCCAGAUGUCCCUCAGCACACACUUGCUCACACACUCUGUCUCUGAAAAGUGGCCAAAAGGGGUGGGGGCUGGGAUCAGCAAACCCUGGAACUUGGGUGUGGAACCUCAAUGCUCCAGUGCACAUGAUAUAAGAGAAAGGAGCAGGGUCCCAAGUAGCACCUGCCCCCUUUGUGGCCUUACUUAUGGCUGCAAAAGGUAAGAAGGGCAGUGGAAGAAGAAAUGGGGGACCAGCUGGUGGGCUCCAAGGGCAGCACACAACAACGGACUGAUGAGAGGUGUAGGGGUCAAGAGAAGAGAGGAAGGGGCUAGAGGGACAGUCUGAAAUUGGCCACUCUGGGGAAGGAAAGGAGCCCAGGAGGGUGGGCUCCUUCAUGUUGGCAUUGGUGGGUGGAGAUUUCCACUCCAUCCAGUCAGGGCCCCACAGCUUCGUAUGGUUGAAUUUGAGGGGAAAGAGGCAUCCUCAGUAGUGUGGUUACCGCAGUGGCUUCAGGUGAAGCUGAGAGGGAAAGGUGGGGAUGGGGAAAGCACCUUUAUCUUUGGUCCAUCUGUUAGACAACUCAUCCACUUGUCUCACUGGAUUGCACUUUGGGUGGUGGGCUCUGCUACAGCCCAAUGGGUCUCAGCAGGAGAGGUUGGGUGGCCCUUGUCACCCACAGGCACUGCUGGGUCUUCUACAUGUCAAGGAGCCAGAAUUCUGGGGGCUGGACACCCCCUUCUCUUGCAGUUGAUGCUGGCCUGGAUCCCUGACUGGGGGACCAGGGACCAUACAUCAGGACUAAGGCACAGUGAGGAGCCCCUUAGAACUCCAGAGGCUGGCCAGGGCAACUGCAGCAUUGCAAGGACAGGGACUGAGGAGCAGGGAGUUGGAUUGGGUACACCAGGUGGGAGGGGCAGCCCCCCACCCUCACCUUCCCACUCCCAGAGGUGGACUCACCUCCAGGGCCCAGGCUUCCCUGGGCACAUGCUUGCCUUCCUCUUCCUCCCCCAGAUCCCUACUGCCUGCCUUCCUUCCUCCCUCUGGACUGUCACCUCUGUCCUGCCCCCAGGAAUGCUGCUGUUCUGCUCUGGCAAAGAAUGGCUGUGAGACACCUCGCAUAGGAUCUGGCUCUCCACUAAGCUGUCAGCAAACCGAAAUGCUGCACUUCCUGGUCCCUGUGGCCUGAAGGAAAGCAGCUCAAAUGUGUCCAUCUUGGCCUCUCCAGCUCCCUACACCGGGCCUGGUGCUCAGUAGGUGGCAAAAGUCUGUUGACCAAAUGAACAGCAGCCAGCCCUUGCUCUUAGUGGCCAAGAAAAGGACACCACCACCCAGGUUCAUUAUAAUCCCACACAUUGUAGCUGAGCCCCCACCCUGUGGAUCAGGCCUCCCAAACUCUACAGGAAACGGGAGGGCACCCUACGCCCACUUCAGGGGGAAUCUGUCAGAGACCAGGGGUGGCAGUUGUGGAGGGGAUCAGUGACAUGAAUCAUGUAGAGGAGGCAGCAUUAAGGAGCUCAGAGAACAAGGCAGGGCAAAGGAGGGGCACCCUCCACCCCAACUUGCCAUCUCCUUCACUGACCCAUUGCCCACUGACCAUCUUUAAAUGAACUAGCUCAUACCUUCAUCCAGUGACUGGCACAGGGUCAAGAAGAUUCCCCCAAGACAUUGUCCUCCCCUGCCUCAGCUCUCCCAGUAUAUCAGGGGCCUGAGACCCAGAGGCUGCGCUCAUCAGGACUUUGGGUGGGAGAGAAAACAUUAUUAUUAUUAUUACUAGAUCUAUCUUCCUCAGGGCCCAGGCGUGCUGGGACUUCAUGUUCCAGAAUAGGAGCAUGUUCAACCCACACAGAUGCUUCUAUUCCAGGGGCAGGCCAAGGUCAUGAGGAACUAGAAACUGCUUUUCCCAGAAAGGCAGUUGGGGAGUAUUGAGUGGAAGCCUUCCAGCUGUCUGUGGGGUCAGGCCCCUCUGAGUCCAGUAGAGGGGGUGGAAAGCUGUAGGCAACAUACUUUAAAGAAGGGCAUCUCCCUUUACACUGUGCACAUCUGGGCUGGGUGACUCCUUGCCGCAAGGGACUGUCUGGUGCAUGAUAAAGACAUUCGGUAGCAUCUCUGGACCAUUCUCCCCCCGUUGCAACAGCCAAAUAUUUCUCUGGGCAUCACCAGGUACCUCUUGGGAGCCCUGGUGAGAAUCAUCACUGUGCAGAACAGAACCUUUGUGGAUGUUGAGGGCCUUGUGCCACAUUCAGUGUCAUCACAAGGGUCUUCAUAAGAGGAAGACAGGAGGGUCAGAGCUAAAGAGGGAGACAUGGAGGUGGAAGCACAGGUCAGCAACUGGAAGACACAGCACUGCUGGCUCUGAAGACCGAGGAAGGGGCCACGAGCUGAGGGAUGCAGGCGCCUCUAGAAGCUGGAAAAGAUAGGAGAGAGAGGUUCUCCCUGAAGCCCUCCGAAAGAACCAGUCCUGCUGACACCUGACUUUGGGGAUUGGACCUCUGGCACUGUAAAAUAACAAAUUUGCCUUUUUCUCACCAAUUAGAAAAAAAUAAGUUACCUACAAA
This is an RNA transcript of Marmota monax (woodchuck), 6374 nucleotides long. RefSeq lists it as uncharacterized. The record is from RefSeq and is a predicted model, not a curated record. The transcript has 6 exons. NCBI's taxonomy places the organism in Eukaryota, Metazoa, Chordata, Mammalia, Rodentia, Sciuridae.